Silurus meridionalis is the source of this 152-nucleotide long non-coding RNA. RefSeq lists it as uncharacterized. The transcript has 3 exons. NCBI's taxonomy places the organism in Eukaryota, Metazoa, Chordata, Actinopteri, Siluriformes, Siluridae. The record is from RefSeq and is a predicted model, not a curated record.
UGGUGGUGAAGAGGAGGAGGAGGAGGAGGAGAGGAAAGUGGAGAACUCGGAAACGGCGCGGCAGAGAAAAGCGCACAGGAGCGCGAGCGACGGACACAGCGCGAGAGAGCGCAUGACUUUAAGAUUCACACACACACACACUGACGGGCCGC